AUUGAACGCUGGCGGCAGGCCUAACACAUGCAAGUCGAACGAGUGGCGGACGGGUGAGUAAUGUCUGGGAAACUGCCUGAUGGAGGGGGAUAACUACUGGAAACGGUAGCUAAUACCGCAUACCAUCGGAUGUGCCCAGAUGGGAUUAGCUAGUAGGUGGGGUAACGGCUCACCUAGGCGACGAUCCCUAGCUGGUCUGAGAGGCUGACCAGUCACACUGGGACUGAGACACGGUGCAGACUCCUACGGGAGGCAGCAGUGGGAGAGAUUGCACAAUGGGCGCAAGCCUGAUGCAGCCAUGCCGCGUGUAUGAAGAAGGCCUUCGGGUUGUAAAGUACUUUCAGAGGGGAGGCGUGACCCGCAGAAGGAGCACCGGCUAACUCCGUGCCAGCAGCCGCGGUAAUUC
Molecule: ribosomal RNA, 406 nt
Filed under: uncultured bacterium
Lineage: Bacteria
Description: partial 16S ribosomal RNA
Rfam family: Bacterial small subunit ribosomal RNA
Source: RNAcentral